Octopus sinensis (East Asian common octopus) is the source of this 167-nucleotide long non-coding RNA. RefSeq lists it as uncharacterized. The record is from RefSeq and is a predicted model, not a curated record. The transcript has 3 exons. Lineage: Eukaryota; Metazoa; Mollusca; Cephalopoda; Octopoda; Octopodidae.
AGGGAGAUUCAGUAUGACACAGAAUGUGACAAGAAUGGCCCUUUGAAAUACAGGUACUACUCAUUUUUGUCAGCUGAGUGGACUGGAACAUCAUGAAAUAAAGUGUCUUGCUCAAGGACGCAACAUGCCACUAGGAAUCAAAUUCAUGAUCUUACAGCCAUUAGCCA